CCUACGGGUUGCAGCAGUGGGGAAUAUUGCACAAUGGGCGCAAGCCUGAUGCAGCCAUGCCGCGUGUGUGAAGAAGGCCUUCGGGUUGUAAAGCACUUUCAGCGGGGAGGAAGGCGUUAAGGUUAGUAACCUUAGCGAUUGACGUUACCCGCAGAAGAAGCACCGGCUAACUCCGUGCCAGCAGCCGCGGUAAUACGGAGGGUGCAAGCGUUAAUCGGAAUUACUGGGCGUAAAGCGCACGCGGGCGGUCUGUCAAGUCGGAUGUGAAAUCCCCGGGCUCAACCUGGGAACUGCAUUCGAAACUGGCAGGCUAGAGUCUUGUAGAGGGGGGUAGAAUUCCAGGUGUAGCGGUGAAAUGCGUAGAGAUCUGGAGGAAUACCGGUGGCGAAGGCGGCCCCCUGGACAAAGACUGACGCUCAGGUGCGAAAGCGUGGGGAGCAAACAGGAUUAGAUACCCUCGUAGUC
Molecule: ribosomal RNA, 465 nt
Filed under: uncultured bacterium
Lineage: Bacteria
Description: bacterial SSU rRNA
Rfam family: Bacterial small subunit ribosomal RNA
Source: RNAcentral